RNAcentral lists this long non-coding RNA (729 nucleotides) under Olea europaea subsp. europaea. The record is from RNAcentral. Lineage: Eukaryota; Viridiplantae; Streptophyta; Magnoliopsida; Lamiales; Oleaceae.
GGAACACAAAACAACAUAACGGAACCGGUUGGACACUGUACAUGUUUUUUUAUUUUCCAUCUAAAAAUGUAAUCUUCAAUCCCCAAGAUAUUUACUAUCAUUUGCAUCAUCGUAAAUCGUGGGCUAAAGUUAGUGUAUGAUAAACACCAUUUCAUAACACCCGUUCAACAUAUUGCAAAAUACAGAUCCAUUUACAAACAUAUGAUCCUUAAUGCCCGACAGUUAAUAUGUUGUUCCCGACAGAUAGUCUCAGUAAUUCUCGACAGUUGGAUCGGAACACACAAACUACACUACUCGAAUUACAUCUUAGGGACAUGUUUACGUAGACUUUUUGGUUUUGUCUAACCAAAGUCAUCCCUACAAAAUACCUAACUAUACAAUACUUAUUCACUACAUUCUCUGGGUGUCACUUCAGUCGUCGUCGACAACAACUGAACCAUCUUCCCCGCUUCCUCACCUGACUCGUCCGACGAGAUGAUAAUUACCUCGUUUGGUGCCUCUUACGCCAUCCAGUCAUCGUCUUCCGAAUCCCCCUCGUAUCCGGCGUCGAGCUUGAAGACCUCAUCGAGCACACCGUUCGGUGAUUGCGCACCCUCGUUGGAAACAUCUUCUAAGUUGGGAAAAGGACCAGGGGAAAUGGUUCUCCUACCAAUACGAGGGCUAACUUCCUCAUCAUCUAAUGAAAUGUAGAUUGAAAAUAAUGGAGAUGAACAGAGAACUGGUAGUGGC